UACGGGGGGGGCAAGCGUUGUUCGGAAUUACUGGGCGUAAAGGGUUCGUAGGUGGCCUACUAAGUCAGACGUGAAAUCCCUCAGCUUAACUGGGGAACUGCGUCUGAUACUGGGGGGCUUGAGGACAGGAGAGGAACGCGGAAUUCCGGGUGUAGCGGUGGAAUGCGUAGAGAUCCGGAAGAAUACCGGUGGCGAAGGCGGCCUGCUGGGCAGUGGCUGACACUGAGGCGCGACAGCGUGGGGAGCAAACAGG
RNAcentral lists this ribosomal RNA (253 nucleotides) under uncultured bacterium. RNAcentral describes it as "partial 16S ribosomal RNA". It matches the Rfam family "Bacterial small subunit ribosomal RNA", at positions 524 to 776 of the family's 1533-position model. The record is from RNAcentral.